AGUGAACGCUGGCGGUAGGCCUAACACAUGCAAGUCGAACGGCAGCACAGGAGAGCUUGCUCUCUGGGUGGCGAGUGGCGGACGGGUGAGGAAUACAUCGGAAUCUACUCUGUCGUGGGGGACAACGUAGGGAAACUUACGCUAAUACCGCAUACGACCUACGGGUGAAAGCAGGGGAUCUUCGGACCUUGCGCGACUGAAUGAGCCGAUGUCGGAUUAGCUAGUUGGCGGGGUAAAGGCCCACCAAGGCGACGAUCCGUAGCUGGUCUGAGAGGAUGAUCAGCCACACUGGAACUGAGACACGGUCCAGACUCCUACGGGAGGCAGCAGUGGGGAAUAUUGGACAAUGGGCGCAAGCCUGAUCCAGCCAUACCGCGUGGGUGAAGAAGGCCUUCGGGUUGUAAAGCCCUUUUGUUGGGAAAGAAAUCCAGCUGGCUAAUACCCGGUUGGGAUGACGGUACCCAAAGAAUAAGCACCGGCUAACUUCGUGCCAGCAGCCGCAGUAA
Molecule: ribosomal RNA, 506 nt
Filed under: uncultured bacterium
Lineage: Bacteria
Description: partial 16S ribosomal RNA
Rfam family: Bacterial small subunit ribosomal RNA
Source: RNAcentral